RNAcentral lists this ribosomal RNA (484 nucleotides) under uncultured bacterium. RNAcentral describes it as "partial 16S ribosomal RNA". It matches the Rfam family "Bacterial small subunit ribosomal RNA", at positions 30 to 507 of the family's 1533-position model. The record is from RNAcentral.
AUUGAACGCUGGCGGCAGGCCUAACACAUGCAAGUCGAGCGGAUGAAGGGAGCUUGCUCCUGGAUUCAGCGGCGGACGGGUGAGUAAUGCCUAGGAAUCUGCCUGGUAGUGGGGGAUAACGUCCGGAAACGGGCGCUAAUACCGCAUACGUCCUGAGGGAGAAAGUGGGGGAUCUUCGGACCUCACGCUAUCAGAUGAGCCUAGGUCGGAUUAGCUAAUUGGUGGGGUAAAGGCCUACCAAGGCGACGAUCCGUAACUGGUCUGAGAGGAUGAUCAGUCACACUGGAACUGAGACACGGUCCAGACUCCUACGGGAGGCAGCAGUGGGGAAUAUUGGACAAUGGGCGAAAGCCUGAUCCAGCCAUGCCGCGUGUGUGAAGAAGGUCUUCGGAUUGUAAAGCACUUUAAGUUGGGAGGAAGGGCAGUAAGUUAAUACCUUGCUGUUUUGACGUUACCAACAGAAUAAGCACCGGCUAACUUCGUG